GAUGAACGCUGGCGGCGUGCCUAAUACAUGCAAGUCGAGCGAACAGAUAAGGAGCUUGCUCCUUUGACGUUAGCGGCGGACGGGUGAGUAACACGUUGGUAACCUACCUAUAAGACUGGGAUAACUUCGGGAAACCGGAGCUAAUACCGGAUAACAUUUGGAACCGCAUGGUUCUAAAGUGAAAGAUGGUUUUGCUAUCACUUAUAGAUGGACCCGCGCCGUAUUAGCUAGUUGGUAAGGUAACGGCUUACCAAGGCAACGAUACGUAGCCGACCUGAGAGGGUGAUCGGCCACACUGGAACUGAGACACGGUCCAGACUCCUAAGGGAGGCAGCAGUAGGGAAUCUUACGCAAUGGGCGAAAGCCUGACGGAGCAACGCCGCGUGAGUGAUGAAGGGUUUCGGCUCGUAAAACUCUGUUAUUAGGGAAGAACAAAUGUGUAAGUAACUGUGCACGUCUUGACGGUACCUAAUCAGAAAGCCACGGCUAACUACGUG
RNAcentral lists this ribosomal RNA (497 nucleotides) under uncultured bacterium. RNAcentral's name for it is "partial 16S ribosomal RNA". It matches the Rfam family "Bacterial small subunit ribosomal RNA", at positions 28 to 507 of the family's 1533-position model. The record is from RNAcentral.